Molecule: long non-coding RNA, 1097 nt
Organism: Colletes gigas
Lineage: Eukaryota; Metazoa; Arthropoda; Insecta; Hymenoptera; Colletidae
Exons: 3
Source: RefSeq, a predicted model, not a curated record
GGACAAUUAAUACGUUUUUGAAAUUAAAAUUUGUGAAACAAAAAGUUAAUUAUGAAAUGCCUGUUACGUAUAAUUCAUAUCUUUUUUAAUUAGAAUUCUCGUAUACAUUUACAUUGCAUAUUCUCUGAUCAUUUCUACCCUUUGAAAUAAAAAUAUUCGAAAAAGUUAAUUAUACAGUGUCGCGUGCAAUUAAUAUCGUUCUCAUUAGAAUUAUCUCGUAAUUUUCUGCCAUAUUAUUCUUUAAUUAUUUCUACCUUUAGAAUUCAAAUAAAAAGUUAUUCAUAAAGUUUCUUUUUAUUUGCCGUUUUAUUAGCACGACUUCACAUUCCUGAUAAUUUAUUUAUUUAGAACGAGUCGAAUGUAAGAAAAUCAAUUUCUCAUCAGGAGUAUAUCAAGCGUAGUAGAGAAGUUCUCUAUAUAAAAUGUUUCACGGUUUAAAAAUAUUUUCCAACUCGACUCGCGUAAACAGAAUCCCUAGCGCCAUUAGUGUUUACAAACAGUGGAAUCAGCAAACGGUAAAACGAAGGUCGUUCUAAAAAUAUUCGACGAUCCAUGCGUCUCUAUGUAUUUAAUUAUCGACUGAUUUCCAUAUAUAGUUUCGCGUGACAACCGUAAGUCUAGUUAGCUAAGAUUUUUCGUAAACAAAAAUAUUUUUCCACUCUACAUUACGUAUCUUUUCUUCCCAGAAAACUUUACGUUAGUUUCUAAAACGCGUUUGAAAGAAAGAUCGUCAUAUUUCGACGUUUCGAAAAAUCAUUGAAACUUACAGUACAAUAUCUUCAACUUAUUAUUAUUCUAUGUUUUAGUUGGACGAGUGACCCAUGGAUCAUACCAGACUAGAUUCUCAAUAAUCUGUCGUUAUCUCGGAGAUCAUGGACCCUGUAACAUAACCUCUUUGUCUCGACAAAGCAAAACGUUCCUAGAAACUUGAUUUCAAUGAUAUUUAUGUUGGACGAGUGACCCAUGGACCACACCAGACUAGAUUCUCAAUAAUCUGUCGUUAUCUCGGAGAUCAUGGAGCCUGCAACAUAACCUCUUUGUCUCGACAAACCGAAACGAUGGCGAAAUUCCUAGAGGAGACUUUGCAAUUCAAAGGA